UACGUAGGUGGCAAGCGUUGUCCGGAUUUAUUGGGUUUAAAGGGUGCGUAGGCGGCUUUUUAAGUCAGUGGUGAAAGCCGAUCGCUUAACGAUCGAACUGCCAUUGAUACUGAGAGGCUUGAGUAUAGUUGAGGUAGGCGGAAUUGACAGUGUAGCGGUGAAAUGCAUAGAGAUUGUCAAGAACACCAAUUGCGAAGGCAGCUUGCUAGAGUAUAACUGACCCUGAGGCACGAAAGUGAGGGGAUCAAACAGG
RNAcentral lists this ribosomal RNA (253 nucleotides) under uncultured bacterium. RNAcentral describes it as "partial 16S ribosomal RNA". It matches the Rfam family "Bacterial small subunit ribosomal RNA", at positions 524 to 776 of the family's 1533-position model. The record is from RNAcentral.